Molecule: non-coding RNA, 36 nt
Organism: Sarcophilus harrisii (Tasmanian devil)
Lineage: Eukaryota; Metazoa; Chordata; Mammalia; Dasyuromorphia; Dasyuridae
Source: Rfam
CUGGUUCUUGCUUCAACAGUGUUUGGAUGGAACAAG